This 648-nucleotide long non-coding RNA is filed under the name Helianthus annuus (common sunflower). Lineage: Eukaryota; Viridiplantae; Streptophyta; Magnoliopsida; Asterales; Asteraceae. The record is from RNAcentral.
UGUCUGAAUCAAAGAACACAAUCAUCGACUUUGUCCUGUCCACAUAUUAGGGUUAUACUACUUCACCAUUCCAAGCAAGGAUAGAAGGUCAAAGGACUGUUAGAAGCACUCUGCCCCAAAUUACAGCUCAGGUGUUCGAUAAAAUGCUUGUACCAGAUCACUGAAGAAGUUGGAUUCCUUGAACAAAAAACUGCUCUAUAUUUUGCUUUGGUCGUUAGCUUAUCAAAAUUAGGGGCUUUAUUGGAUUGCAAUUUGGUGAGUUUGGAGUCAUGAGCAUAGGGGAUUUCCUCAACCUUCAUUUUUCCAAACUUAAAUUUACAUUUUUUUUGUAGAUUGAAGAAGGCAAACUUGGUUAUCAAGGAGCUCGUUGAGGAAAAGGAUGAUGAAAAAUAAAAGUAAAUGGAAUUAUUGCAGGGUCGUUGGUUGUAAAAGAAAAGGAUAAGGUGGAUAAAGAUACGAUGCUUAAUAAGAUGUGACAAACUGAAGCUAUGAUAACAACUAUUGUUCUAAGAUAGGCCAAAAUGUUUCGAUAUUUAUCGUAUUAGGAUAAUUUCGGUUAUUUGAUGUUUUAGUUGGUGUUUGUAAUUAGAAUGUUUCAUAUGAUUCGAAACCGCAAAGACUAUAACAAAAGUGUUUUGUAUAAUUUUG